Non-coding RNA from Camellia sinensis, 4035 nucleotides. NCBI's taxonomy places the organism in Eukaryota, Viridiplantae, Streptophyta, Magnoliopsida, Ericales, Theaceae. The record is from RefSeq and is a predicted model, not a curated record.
UUGUACCCUUCAUUCAAAAAUUGCUAAUUCGUGGCGUGGGUGAUUUUCUCUCUCCAUCUCUUUCUUGAUUUCCAUUUUUGGGUUGCAUUCAUUUGCAGUUGUAUUGUAUUUCUGCAACAAGGUAUAGUCAGUGAGAGAGAGAGGAUUUAGUAAGUGAAAUGGCCAACAUAUAAAUUGAGGGAAUAUUGAAGGAACUCCCGAAUGAUGGCCAAGACGAAGAUCGUGCCCAACUUCUCGAAGUGUGCCCAUGCUCGAGAAGCUUCUAAAGGCAGGGAUGAAUGUUGCCAAGUUCAACUUCUCCCGUGGUACCCAUGAAUACCAACCAUCAGGAAACCUUGAACAAUCUCAAGAUUGCCAUGCACCACACCCAGAUCUUGUUGCUAUCAUGCUUGAUACCAAGCUUAAAGCAGCUUUUGGCAUAAAUUAAGCUAUGUUUGUGUGUUUGGUACACUUCUCCUCUCAAAUGGCGCUCUCUUCUUCUCCUUUCCUCUCCUCUUGCUGCCGAACAACGAAGAAUUGCUUCACACAUCAAAGCUCGCCGGCGAUCAUCCCUGUUUUUUGUUGAUCUCCACCAAAAAGUAAGAUUUGAAACCCUAAACCCUAUGUUUUGUUAUAUAUAGAUAUACAUAUUAGAUAUACACAUCGAUUUAGGGUUUUUUUUGAGUUUUGGUUGCUCUGUGUUCAAAUUCGAUUAGGGUUCUUGUUUGCGUUUGUUUUUGGUUUCUGGUUGCUCUCUCUCUCUCUCUCUCAUCGAUUUUGGUUUCUGCUUCAUGUAGGGUACCCCUCUUUCUGGUUCAUGAAGGCAAUACAUCGAUUUUGGUUUUUGGUUUCUGGUUUCUUGUUCAUGUAGUCUCACAUAUGUUUUAUAUUUAUCUGCAUAAUUUUCUUUUUUAUAAUUUGGAUUUUACCCAUAUCUAAUAAACGUUUUGCUAUGUUUGCUAUUAUGGGUUCUCUGAUCUUCUCGUGCAUAUAUUUGGGUUUUGAUCAUCUGGGUCUCUUGCUUUUUUAUCAAAUUUUAGACCAUGUUUAGUGUUUGCACUAAUUUUGAUAUUUAGGUUAUUUAAGAUUUUUGUAAUUAUGGUUUACCUUAGACAUGUUUAUUGGAUUUGAUCUCAUCUAUAUGCUCAUGUGGUUACCUAAUCCUACUUAUUAAUUAUUAUCCAUAGUUCAUGUAGUUUUCUAUGUUUUUGCAAUCCCCUUAUUAUCUGCCACUAAAGCACAUCAACAUCCUUAAUCUAGUUAAACUUGCAUUCUACCAAUAGGAAAUCAAAUCUGCCCUCAACAUCCUUUAUCUUUGGCAUUUUUACCCUGUCAAAAACAGAAAGGAAGUUCAAAAUAUAUGAGAGGCAUUGGAUUAUCUCAAACUUCUUAAUGCUUAGGUUUGAAUCUAAAUCUUUGAUGCUUACGUCUUUAUGUUCUUCAUGGUUUUGUUGAUAAGGAUCUUCUAGAAUUUGAACCCAGCUUGUGAGGUGGAUAUCAUGAUUCAUUCUUAAAUAGAUGCUACAGUUGUAGAACAGUUUUGGUUUAAUGUUCCUAAACUGUUUUAUUUUUUUUAAUAUUAUAUUUUAUUUUAAUUUUACCUUUCUCCUUAAGACAUGAACAAAUAAUUUCAUAAAUGUUUGAAAAUCUUGUCUGGGUUGACAAUUCACCCAAGCCAAUUUACCAUCCAAGCCAGCAGUGUAGUUCUGCAUCAUUAAUGAAAAUCUUGUCUGGGCUUUAGGAGAAUAGGGAAGAAAUGUUUGAAAAUCUUUUCAUAGAUGUUUACCUUUCUCCUUAAUUUUACCUUUCUCCUUAAGAAACGCCUUUAUCUUUUCGUAAAUGUUUGAAAAUCUUGUCUGGGUUUGUGAAGGCCUUGUGCGUAUAAUUUUUGUCACCACAAAAAAGUAUAACUUUUACUUUAGGAGAAUAGGGAAGAAAAAGUUUUGUAAAGCACAUUAGGAAGCCUUAAAUUCAAGCAUGCCACUAGACUAGACCAAUCCCUUCAUCUUUAGUUUUAGUUCAAAAAAUAUAUAAGUUUCCUAUAUGAAAAAGAUUUCAAAUGAAAAAAUAUAAAAACAAAAUAACAUAUGUCUUUAAAAUUGAAGAACCAACAGGUCUUUAAAAUUAAAGAACCAAUUGGAAUAAUUUUGUACCUUCUUUUGGGAGAAUACUCUUGAACGUCAAGGAGCAACACCUUUUGCCAUCUUUCUUUGAUGACUGUUCUUGGUAGUGUUCUAUGUCAUGUUCUAUGUUUAGCACUGAAUUUAAUCUUUCAACUUUAUUAGUUGAUAAAUCUUUUAACUUUAUUAGUUGAUAAUUUUAUUACAUAAUUACAAAUAAUUCUCCCAUUUGAAAUGAGAUCAGUGCACUUCAAAUUUUUCUAGGAACAAAUGGGUGCAAACAAAUUGUCAUUAUGUUAGAAACAUUUUAUUCAAUCAAUACUUCGUGGGUGCAAUGUAUUUACAAUUAGCUUUCCAAUAAGGAUUUGGAUUCAAUUGUUCCUAAUUAAUGCUGAGGCAUGUCAUCCUCUAGUAACUAUUAUUCUAGUGGUGAGAGCUUCGACUUAAGGUAUGAGGCUUUGAAAUGUGAUUGUGGGCUAAGAGCUGCCAUAAGGGUUACCGAGUCUGACAAGCCAUCUAAAGGGAGACUGUAUUUCAUUUGUGAGAAAAGAAAUUGUCAAUUUUGGAAGUGGUGUACCCCAAAAUCUGUAACGAUGGUAGAGAGGCUAAAGAACGAGAGAAUGCUUGAUCCAAAUCAAAAUAUGGAGACUGUAGGACUAAAAGUGAAGAACCAAAUGCUUGAGCAAUCCAAUACUUUCAUGAAGCAGCUUGUUGUGGGUCUGCUCACGAUUUGUAUUAUUAUGUCAAUUGCAUUACUCUUCAAAUGAUGAUAGGUGCCGUUUAGAGAUACCCGGUGUUUUUGUGCUAAUGUAGUUUACCAUGAACUAUACUAAGCUUUGUACCCAAUGAAUGUUGACGUAUUUGCCAUGUAUGGUUCUUUUGUACUAAUCUAGCUGUUGUAAUGCAAGCACCGAUGAAUGAGUUUGUUUUAAAAAUUUUUUGUCUUUCAUAGAAUGAGUACCCAAGAGGAAACACAAUCUGAAAAUAGGAAGAACAAGGGAAAAUCAAGUCAAGUACCAUCCGUUAAAGCUCAUUGGGAUGCAAAAUCAAAUGAAAUUUUUAUUAAGCUUUGUGUUGGGCAAGUGAAGGUUGGACGUAGACCUGGUACACACUUAGAUAGGGUCAAGUGGGAAAAUGUGAUAACUAAGUUUAAAAGUAUGACUGGAAAAGCAUACCAACGAAUACAAAUAAAAAUCAUUGGGAUGUGUUGAAAAAAUAUUGGCUUUUAAGGAAUAAUAUGUUAAGGGGUGAGACAGGCUUAGGUCGGGAUACAUUGACUGGAGCUAUAUCUGCAUCUGAUGAGUGGUGGACCAAGAAAUUGGAGAGGUAUCCUAAUGCUGCUAAAUUCCAACGUAUACCGUUGCAAUUCACUGAAGACUUAGACAUACUAUUCUCAGAUGCAGCAGCUAUAGAAGAAUGGACAUACACUCCUAGCUCAGGGUAAUGCCUCACACUAAUGAGACUCCGGAGGAAUUUCAUACUCCACAUGAUGCUAAAUUUCAUGAUGAUGCUGAUUUGGAAGUGGUUCAUCCUUCCGAAUUAAACAAAAAAUGGUCAUCAAACAUUGGUGGUUCAUCAACCAAGAGCAAGACAAAGAAGAAAUUUACUAGUGCCGCUCUACUGAACAAGACACCUGAUCGUAUAGUCAAUGUGGUUGAGUCAUCUUCAGCAACUUCAACACAGACCUCAUCAAGAUAUCAUUCAAUUGCAGAAUGUUUGGCGAUGUUGGAAAGCAUCCCUGGUGUGUCCCCGAAUGAUGAGCUGUAUGUAUGGGCUGCUAGAUUGUUCUUACAAGACAAGCGUCGUGAGUUCUUCAUGAGUCUUCCUAUGGAUGAAGUUCGGUUGAGGUUUCUAAAGUUGGAGAUUAAGAUGGAGAAGACCACCACAUGUUAUCACGGCUAAUUGUUUUUUAGAUGGACUGUUGUGUUAAACUCGU